Molecule: long non-coding RNA, 471 nt
Filed under: Nicotiana tabacum (common tobacco)
Lineage: Eukaryota; Viridiplantae; Streptophyta; Magnoliopsida; Solanales; Solanaceae
Description: long non-coding RNA (NTAB_LNC004583)
Source: RNAcentral
AUUCCCUCGUUCUCCAGGUGGGUGCCUUGACUGCUUCUUUUCUUUCUUCAUCCUCGUUCUCCAGGUGGACGCCUGACUUCUUUUUAACUUCUUCAUCCUCAUUCUCCAGGUGGACGCCUGACUUCUUUUUAACUUCUUCAUCCUCAUUCUCCAGGUGGACGCCUGACUUCUUUAAUUCUUAUCCUCGUUCUCCAGGUGGACGCCUGACUUCUUUAAUUCUUAUCCUCAUUCUCCAGGUGGACGCCUGACUUCUUUAAUUCUUCAUCCUCAUUCUCCAGGUGGACGCCUGACUUCUUUAAUUCUUCAUCCUCAUUCUCCAGGUGGACGCCUGACUUCUUCUUUUCUUCAUCCUCAUUCUCCAGGUGGACGCCUGACUUCUUCUUUUCUCAUCCUCAUUCUCCAGGUGGACGCCUGACUUCUUCUUUUCUCAUCCUCAUUCUCUAGGUGGACGCCUGACUUCUUUAAUUCUCA